GAUGAACGCUGGCGGCGUGCCUAAUACAUGCAAGUCGAGCGAACAGACGAGGAGCUUGCUCCUCUGACGUUAGCGGCGGACGGGUGAGUAACACGUGGAUAACCUACCUAUAAGACUGGGAUAACUUCGGGAAACCGGAGCUAAUACCGGAUAAUAUAUUGAACCGCAUGGUUCAAUAGUGAAAGACGGUUUUGCUGUCACUUAUAGAUGGAUCCGCGCCGUAUUAGCUAGUUGGUAAGGUAACGGCUUACCAAGGCAACGAUGCGUAGCCGACCUGAGAGGGUGAUCGGCCACACUGGAACUGAGACACGGUCCAGACUCCUACGGGAGGCAGCAGUAGGGAAUCUUCCGCAAUGGGCGAAAGCCUGACGGAGCAACGCCGCGUGAGUGAUGAAGGUCUUCGGAUCGUAAAACUCUGUUAUUAGGGAAGAACAAAUGUGUAAGUAACUAUGCACGUCUUGACGGUACCUAAUCAGAAAGCCACGGCUAACUACGUG
This 497-nucleotide ribosomal RNA is filed under the name uncultured bacterium. RNAcentral's name for it is "partial 16S ribosomal RNA". It matches the Rfam family "Bacterial small subunit ribosomal RNA", at positions 28 to 507 of the family's 1533-position model. The record is from RNAcentral.